GAUGAACGCUGGCGGCGUGCCUAAUACAUGCAAGUCGAACGCUUUGUGGUUCAACUGAUUUGAAGAGCUUGCUCAGAUAUGACGAUGGACAUUGCAAAGAGUGGCGAACGGGUGAGUAACACGUGGGAAACCUACCUCUUAGCAGGGGAUAACAUUUGGAAACAGAUGCUAAUACCGUAUAACAAUGACAACCGCAUGGUUGUUAUUUAAAAGAUGGUUCUGCUAUCACUAAGAGAUGGUCCCGCGGUGCAUUAGCUAGUUGGUAAGGUAAUGGCUUACCAAGGCGAUGAUGCAUAGCCGAGUUGAGAGACUGAUCGGCCACAAUGGGACUGAGACACGGCCCAUACUCCUACGGGAGGCAGCAGUAGGGAAUCUUCCACAAUGGGCGAAAGCCUGAUGGAGCAACGCCGCGUGUGUGAUGAAGGGUUUCGGCUCGUAAAACACUGUUGUAAGAGAAGAAUGACAUUGAGAGUAACUGUUCAAUGUGUGACGGUAUCUUACCAGAAAGGAACGGCUAAAUACGUGCCAGCAGCCGCGGUAAUACGUAUGUUCCAAGCGUUAUCCGGAUUUAUUGGGCGUAAAGCGAGCGCAGACGGUUAUUUAAGUCUGAAGUGAAAGCCCUCAGCUCAACUGAGGAAUUGCUUUGGAAACUGGAUGACUUGAGUGCAGUAGAGGAAAGUGGAACUCCAUGUGUAGCGGUGAAAUGCGUAGAUAUAUGGAAGAACACCAGUGGCGAAGGCGGCUUUCUGGACUGUAACUGACGUUGAGGCUCGAAAGUGUGGGUAGCAAACAGGAUUAGAUACCCUGGUAGUCCACACCGUAAACGAUGAGUGCUAGGUGUUUGAGGGUUUCCGCCCUUAAGUGCCGCAGCUAACGCAUUAAGCACUCCGCC
RNAcentral lists this ribosomal RNA (892 nucleotides) under Weissella confusa. RNAcentral describes it as "bacterial SSU rRNA". It matches the Rfam family "Bacterial small subunit ribosomal RNA", at positions 28 to 873 of the family's 1533-position model. The record is from RNAcentral. Lineage: Bacteria; Bacillati; Bacillota; Bacilli; Lactobacillales; Lactobacillaceae.